This 516-nucleotide long non-coding RNA is filed under the name Rattus norvegicus (Norway rat). RNAcentral describes it as "long non-coding RNA NONRATT031449". Lineage: Eukaryota; Metazoa; Chordata; Mammalia; Rodentia; Muridae. The record is from RNAcentral.
AUCAAAUCUGGCUGAAAGUGUCCAGAAGGACAGAGAAAGGGCGGAAAAUCAAAGACCUCACCUUGCCUACAUCUACACAGCCAAGACUGCCACAAAACAAGAGACAGAGUCUGCAUUAAAGCAGACACAAGAUAUAGACAUAAGUUGCCUGUUCUGCACCCAUGGAACUUCCUGGACGUCCAUUCGCUUUCUGACCUUUCCUGCCCAUGCUUCAGACGGAGCAACCCAUUCUUCAUGGCCUUCCAGGGUUUGUGAUUUAUAUAAUGGCUUAUCUUCUUGCUUGACCAUUAAUGUCAGGGCACAACAAUCACACAUGCAAUUGAUGAAUAAAUGUGUGAGACAAAUGAUCUAUUGUUAUCCUCCAUGACGUUUUCAUCUAGCCACGGGGAGGCGGGGGAACAAAUGACAAGACUGUAAACGAUGGACUCCUCUUAGAGUUCCCAAGAAGAAAUGAGCAGUAAGUGACAAAGCGUAAAUGCCCUAUUUGUCACCACACCUUGGAGCAUUUAAUAUAAG